Molecule: long non-coding RNA, 3206 nt
Organism: Felis catus (domestic cat)
Lineage: Eukaryota; Metazoa; Chordata; Mammalia; Carnivora; Felidae
Exons: 4
Source: RefSeq, a predicted model, not a curated record
UGAGUAAAUUAGUAAGAUGCUGCUUGCCCUCCGACGAGGCCCCUGCUGUACGUCUGGGUGUGCAGUGUGUGCUCAGCUCCCUGGUGUAAUCCCGGGAGCUUCCCGGGGCCUCGGGGCGGGGACCCCUGUGUGACCGAACAGACAGUGGCCGCAGCCCCUGCUGUCAGGAUGUAGGCUCUUCAGGCAGGUGUUCCGUUUCACCGGGAAAGUUCCAGAAGCUGCUGUCCUCUUCAGCCGGGGCUGGCUGAAAUUCCCAAGGGAACGGGGAUGCUGUGGGGCGUCCCGUGUACGCGCUGCUUCCAGGCCGGACCCCUAGGACUCUGGGUGGAAGGGUCUCUGUUGCCAUGUGACCUCGUCGCCUGCGUGACUCAGUCUGUCAGCCAUUCUGGCGUGUUGAAGGACGUUCCGGUGCAUCAGGUCAGCGGGUUCCUCUCACGAUGGGGCCACGACUGUCCUCGCAAUCUCCAGCGUGUUGAAAAGGCAUCUGUCACGUCAUGAGGACACUCAAGGAGCCCCAUGGCGAGGUCCAUGUAGCGAGGAACUCAGCCCUUCUUAACAGCAGCCAGGAAAAAACUGAGGCCUCCCGCCAUUGGCCACUGAAUGGACAAUCUUGGAAAUAGAUCCCUCACCCCCAGUCAGGUCUUCAGAUACUGUAGCCCUGGCUAACAUCUUUGACUGCAACCUGAUGAGAGAUUAUGAACCAGAACCACCCAGCCAAGCUGCUCCUAGAUUUCUGACCCGCAGAAGCAACGAUGACAAAAAGGCAGAGUUCUAGAAGAUUGAAAACACAAAAUUGGAAAGCUUGGAUUAUAUAGAACUCUACAACCCAAAUCAGAAGGCUCAACAGCAUUGACCUGGCAGGACCACUUAAGACUUCAAGACUCCUGGAACUCCCUUGGUACCUGGGCCUCGUGCAGUGGCUUCUAGUGCAGAAAGUUAAAGGUCUAGUCUAAGUCUUCAAGGUUGAGAAGGUUUCCUGGAGCAGACAAAACGUCUUGGAGAAAGGCGAAGGCAGCUGGGUGUCCCCUCCCCUCGGACGCUAGGCCUGGGCGGAGGGAGAGGUCACGGGUCCCAGGAGCAGCACAGACCUGGCCUGGCUCCCUGCCAGGACUCAGAAGCUUCAUGUGCCACCGCAGGGAAGGAUGGCAAGAGAGUGUGUCCGGGUGGGGGAGCCAGUUUAAGUGGAAUUUGCAGAGUUUGGGGGCAUAGGGACCAGAGGGCAGGGACUAUGGACAUCUCAGCAGUAACCAUGUGACAUUCGUCCAACAAGAUGGCUUGGCCCAGUCUAAGAUUUGGGGGCUGGAGUGCACAACAGCACGGGGGCAAGGAAGUACGAAACUCAUCCCCAAGAAGGACCAGAAUUCAGCUUCCCCCCAGUUCGGCCGAAUAGUUGAUUUAUGAAAAACGAAGUUCAAUAUCACGUGCGCCUGAGUUCUCCGACUGAGAUUGCUACCCGGCACACCUGUUCUUACAUAGUGAGUCCUGGGGAUCCAAUCUGUUCCUGUUCCCAGAAAAAUCACUGGGUCCCUUCUGCUGGGGUAGGAGGUGGAGAGGAGGGGCUAGCUUUCCCUGAGACACCAGAUGACAGUUCCCCAGGGAGUUAAUCCUGCCACUUGCCCAGUUCCCUGAGCCUCGUGAGUCAGGGAGCUUGGGGGAGCAUGCUGCAGUGGCCAGGAGAAGACUGAGGGAAAGGAGGCUGGGGGGGGGGUGGAUUUUCAAUCCAUUUCAGAGUUGCCUACUGAGCAUCUGUGAUGUGCCAAGCCCUAGGCUAGGCACUGGGGGAUAAGUAAAAGAAAGAAUGCAAGAAAGCAUUGUGUCAGAGCCUGGCAUACAGUAGGUGCUUCAUAAAUGCUCAUUCAUAAGAGCUCUCGUGCUCUUCCUUGGAAAGAUACAAGAUGAAGAAAAUACAGUUUCAUCCUCAAGGAUCUUAAGAUCCUGUAAGAGGCCAGGACCCUUUUGCACAUUCCUCAGACUCAGAGCACAGUAAGCAAUGCAGCCCAGGCCCGAAGAUCCAGGGGCUCAAGGGAGGGAGAGAGAUGUGAUGGAGACUUCGCAGAAGAGGGCUCAACCAUGUGUACACAGGAGAGGUGGGAGAUGAGGAGGGGGACAGGGGAACGGACUCAUGGGAAGCUGUCGGGAGACAGGGCCACAAGAGAACACAUUCCGGCAGUCCCUAACCUCCGGAGUGAAAGUUCAUGUGCAGAUCAGUUGCUUGGAAUUUGGAAUGCGUUUUCCCAUGGGAACAAUACCAUAAAUGGAGGCUAGGUUCUCAGGCAACAGGCAACUGACUUACCCAUACUGUUAUUUAGCUAGAUUACUCACGCCGUUCCCCAGACCAGGGCUCAGGGAGGUGGGAGCCCUGUGGCCCAACUCCUUUCUUGGGGGGAGGGGGCUGGACCUGCCUUAGGCCGAGGGCUUCUUGUCUGGGCUUUGGUGUGGUUCAGGAAGGGAUUCAACUUGAAAAGUCCUAAGGUUAGUCUUUAGCGUAUUUGAUAACAAAGCCAUCUGCCCACAUACAUUUAUAAUCAUAUUAAAGGACUAGUUUGCAGGAAGAAGAGGUGAAGAAAGUUCUAAAUUGCUACCAAAUCAGCAGCCGGACCUGUCUCGGAAUUUCAGUUUCUGUUUGAUGUAAAUGCUUCCUCAUUCCUAAUCCAGCGUGACUGGUGUCCUAUGAAAAGAAGGAAUUUUGGACACAAACACCCACACGGGGAGAACGCCAUACGAGACGACGGUGUCUAUGAGGCAAGGAGUUCUCAGGAUUGCCAGCAAAUCGCCCAAAGAGGCACGGCCGAGAUGCUCCCUCACGGCCCUCAGAAAAAAACCAUCCUGCUGACACCUUCACCUCAGACUUCCGACCCCCAGAGCAGUAACGUAGCGUAUUUCUGUUAAGGUUGUGGUACUUCGCCACGGCCGUUCCAGAAAAGGAGCCCAGCCAUUUCUGUGGUCAGAGACAACGUACAACCUGACCCCACCACCUGUGUUACAGCUGGGCCGGGACCUCCCACAAAGCCAGCCACCUGCAGGACCAGUGCCCUCCGACAUGGCCUGCUUCGAGAUCUGUGCCCCGCAUGUGCCCCCAAUACCAGCCGCCCAAGCAGACUGGCUUUCUUGAAGGGUUUAAAGGAAGUGCCAGAGGGGUGGGGAUGGGGCGCCCCAUUGGGCUCAGUGGGUAGAGCAUGCGACUUUUGAUCUCAGGGUUGUGAGUU